Non-coding RNA from Podarcis lilfordi (Lilford's wall lizard), 3024 nucleotides. The record is from the annotation of a GenBank genome assembly. Lineage: Eukaryota; Metazoa; Chordata; Lepidosauria; Squamata; Lacertidae.
GAGCUGCAGGGCUGGUCGCCCGCGUUGCAAGGCGGAGAGAGAGAGAGAGGCAGAGGAAGGAGGAGAAGCCGCCUUGGCUUCGCCUCGCAGCCCUUCGACCCACCUCCGGGACUGGAAGUUCCUCCACAGGUCACGAGAGAUCACCCCUUGUGCCCAUCGCUUUGGGGUUGCAGGUCACAGAAUCCAUGGAAUGAUGCUCAGAUCCUUCUGGGGCGCCUAUGGAACCCCCUGCCACCAGGAGUGCCAACUUCAAUAAAAUAUGGGGGGGCCAGGCAAGCCCCGCCCCGCAAAAUCGAUCACAGGACAUGGCACAUGCACGGCAUUUGAAUGAUGGCAAUGCCCAUUAACUUUGGGGGGCAGCCCCCUCAAGUAUUUGGGGGGGCUGAAGGGACCUUGGUCCCUAGGAGUUCGCUCUGAUGCCUGCCAGACUUCCCCAGUCACCGAAGCAUUUCUGUUUCCCGCACCCCAAAAAGAGCCCCGUCAUAUUAGAACCCAAACCCUCUCCCAAUGGCACCAUGACAACAAGAUGCUGCUGGAAUGCAGGCCACAAACCUGAGCACAGGACUGGGCUGCUUUUUCCAGUAGCUGGAAAAGACACCACCGCCACUGAAAAUUUGUGGCAAAAUAUGCCCCCAAAGGCCCAACUUUCCUUCUGUGACAGGCCACCUGUGAUUGGGUCCCACAUCUUAGGAAGUGGGAUGCCUUCCGUCUGCCAUUUCUUUCCCCUGCCUUCAUUCCUAUGCUACCUUAACCUCCCAUCCUCUGCUGCUCUCCUAUGGGCAGCUUCACCUGUUGCCCCCUUACAGUCAGAGUAUGGUUUUUGCCCUGUCACUCCUCCCCCCCCCCCAAUAGUAAGACACAUUACUUCCCUCACCCACUGUAUCUCUUUGGUCCUCGUCCCAGACAUCUGCAGAUGUUUUCAUGAUUGACCUGUUGCAUGAAUGAUAGAUAUCACCUGGGCAACCUAAAACGAAUACUGUGAUUCUUCAAAACAGGGUCAGGGUCCAUCGGGAUCCAUUGCUUCAGGAACCGAGUGCCAAAUUCUGACCAGAUGCCCUACAGAAGCAGCAGCCCCCUACCCCACCACUGGAGGUGCCUCCAUGAAGCUCUCCCUCACCUGUUCCUGCCUGAGAAUGUGCCUUAAAGGGAUAGUGUGUAUAUAGCCUGAAUGCAUCACGUGAUCUCUCUCUCUCCCCCCCCCCCCGCCUUUUUUAAAACAGUAACAGAAGCAGGAAGGGGCACCAAUGGAAGCUUCUAUCUCAGGACUAAUACUAGGAAUGUUGGGAGGGGGUAGAUUUUUUUGGCAAAACUAUGGCAAAAAGGUUAUCAAACCUUGACACUACAUUCCCAGUGAGAUUCAGGUGUGUUUCAAGAAAAGCAGCAACAAAUGGAAUGUUUACUAUCACAUUCAGCUGGGCCCAGAGAUACAGUUUGCCAGUCCAGGAUUCAUAGAUAGAUAGAUAGAUAGAUAGAUAGAUAGAUAGAUAGAUGUCGUUACUGCAUACCGAUGAUGAAAGGCAGAUUUUACUGGAGGCUGCAGGGGUGGAGGGUGGGCUGAAGCAACAGAUUUAGGAUACCACUGAAUGCCAUCAAAAUAUCAAUUAUUUAGCAUAGUAUUAGAUUUUUUUACUACCAUUGGUGUGAGAGUGGGAGCAUGGGACUUUUUUUGCCUCAAACAUCAAAAUACAUUGGCCUAUCUCCUGAAAUAACUUCUAGGUGGGUUUUGAAUCCUGACACCUAUCUUUCCACAUUUCUUGUGACUAGGAUACAGUAGUUACCGUAAGUGUUCUCCAGACACUAAAAAUAUUCACUAAAGGCAGCCCUAAAUAACCAGAGUUUUCAGCUAUGCAUAUUUAGCAAUAUGUAAUUCAAUCCAGACAGUGCAGACGAGUGUGAACAAUUCAUUGGCUGUGGAAUAAAUCAAGACAGGAAGCCAGCCAGGUUUCACAACUAGGCUGCAGGGAUUUCUCUAGUUUCCUCUCACAAAUGAAGUUACAGGUCUCCAGCAUGUGGCAGAACGGUGGAGCCAACAGGCAAGGGGAACUUAGGGGUAAGUCUUGCUCAUUGUUUACUUCAUACUCCAUAAAUGUUAAUUAAAUUGGACACAAAACAAGUGCAGAUCUUUGGCACAGUGCUUGUUCAGUCUUGGUUCACUUGAAGUAAAAGUCUAUUCAGAAUUUUCCCAUGCUCAAUGCAAUUUUUUUUUAAUGCAUUAAUUGACAUGGUUUUACAAGGGUCUAGCAGAUUAGAUCAUGCAUUAGGCCACAUCCAUUGGCUUCCAGUUUGGUUUUGGGUUCAAUUCAAAGUGCUGAUUAUGUCCUUGAAAGUCUUAAACUGGGGUGAGGAACCUUUUCAGUCCAAGAACCACAUUCCUUCAUGGACAGCCUUCUAGGGGUUGUGGGAAUGGCAAGAGACAAAUGCAGAAGAGAGACCAGAAAGAUGAAAGUGAGGAGAGCAAUGGCUAUGACUCUUACCCUUUUAUAGUAGACUACAUUCCAGCUUUGCAAAACUAAGAAGUCUCCACACAUACACCUGUCCAUUCUUGAUCCAGGCAAGCAUCAAGGACUCAUUCCAGCCACAGUUUGGUGUUGACACUAAAUAAACAAAAUAUUUAAUGUGUUGCAGUUCCAACCAACUUUAACACUCUUUUUUCAGAUGUUCAGAGAGAACACUUGCUGAAACCAGACAAUGGGGGGGGAGCAAUAUCCCCGUGCAUGCAAAGUGCACUUGGAACCUUCCCUGUGAUCAGAAACGCUGUUCUUAUGCCACUGCAGCCCCCCACCAUACAUUUUAGGCCUUGCUAAACCCCCGCCCUUGCCUCACAAGAUGCCUUUCAGGGGCUUCAGUGCCCCUCUUUCAAAAGAAGGGUUUUGCUUACACAACAGUGGAUCGAAUCAUUAGCAGCAGGAACUGCUACUGCCAUCAUCUGUAAUGCUCAUGCCGUAUUUAAACUUUUUAUGGCCUGCACUUGCCGUUUCUGACUUCUUUUUUAUAAGAUAUUUAUUAAGAUUUUCAAAAUAUUGC